Molecule: ribosomal RNA, 255 nt
Filed under: Triticum aestivum (bread wheat)
Lineage: Eukaryota; Viridiplantae; Streptophyta; Magnoliopsida; Poales; Poaceae
Description: partial small subunit ribosomal RNA
Source: RNAcentral
AUGUGUACCUUAGCUUGGAACUUCCGGGGUGGGGGGAACCGCCGGACAGUUCGGGAACUACUGGCUCUUUGCCAGUCAAACAACUCCAGCCUCGUUUUUCUUUGUGAAACUAGGCAAACGGAGGAGAAGAUGGAGAAGCUGAGAUGGAGAUUGGGACUUAGGGGAUUUGAAGGAGUGGGAAGUGACCGAAGAAGUGGGGGGCUGGCUCUAUACUGGCAUGAGGCCCUUCAUGUAGAGAUUCUUGGGAAAAGUAAC